This is a small nucleolar RNA of Ailuropoda melanoleuca (giant panda), 124 nucleotides long. Its record names the gene SNORD22. It matches the Rfam family "Small nucleolar RNA SNORD22". From Rfam's summary of the family: U22 is a member of the C/D class of snoRNA which contain the C (UGAUGA) and D (CUGA) box motifs. The record is from Ensembl. NCBI's taxonomy places the organism in Eukaryota, Metazoa, Chordata, Mammalia, Carnivora, Ursidae.
UCCCAGUGAAGAAACAUUCAGGGACAUACCUCCUGUCUCAGUCCCAGAUCCUGUAAAGAUAAACCCUCUGGGACUGGCUGGGGAGAGGAGGAAAGUGUAUUGCAGAAGGAACUGUCUGAGGGAG